RNAcentral lists this ribosomal RNA (491 nucleotides) under uncultured bacterium. RNAcentral describes it as "bacterial SSU rRNA". It matches the Rfam family "Bacterial small subunit ribosomal RNA", at positions 170 to 659 of the family's 1533-position model. The record is from RNAcentral.
CCCAUAAUAUGGUACCAUCGCAUGAUGGAACUAUAAAAGCUGCGGCGGUAAAGGAUGGGCAUGCGUGACAUUAGCUAGUUGGUAGGGUAACGGCCUACCAAGGCUACGAUGUCUAGGGGUUCUGAGAGGAAGGUCCCCCACACUGGUACUGAGACACGGACCAGACUCCUACGGGAGGCAGCAGUGAGGAAUAUUGGUCAAUGGGCGCGAGCCUGAACCAGCCAUCCCGCGUGCAGGAAGACGGCCCUAUGGGUUGUAAACUGCUUUUGUGCAGGAAGAACGUUCUCUACGUGUAGAGAAGUGACGGUACUGCAUGAAUAAGCACCGGCUAACUCCGUGCCAGCAGCCGCGGUAAUACGGAGGGUGCAAGCGUUAUCCGGAUUUAUUGGGUUUAAAGGGUGCGUAGGCGGUGAAAUAAGUCAGUGGUGAAAAGCUGCAGCUCAACUGUAGUCCUGCCAUUGAAACUGUUUUACUUGAGUAACCAUGAAGUA